This is a long non-coding RNA of Oncorhynchus keta (chum salmon), 570 nucleotides long. RefSeq lists it as uncharacterized. The transcript has 4 exons. The record is from RefSeq and is a predicted model, not a curated record. Lineage: Eukaryota; Metazoa; Chordata; Actinopteri; Salmoniformes; Salmonidae.
UGUGAAGGACCGCCCCUGGUUUGGCACGUAGGUUAUCCAGCCAGUACUUGAUGAUACUCUGACGCUCCUAAAGACAAGCUUGUGGGAUUCCCAGUCGGAUAUGGUUCAGCAGCCAUAGCAAGGUGUGGUCAUCUAUGGUGUCUACAACAAAAAAAAGAAAUGACAGUCUUGGAGCCACUUAAUGAGUGUAUUCACAUAAGGAUGUUGAAACAACGACAUUCUCCAGAGCUUGGCGGAAGUAGCAGCAGUAACCGUGGGAGGACGGAGCCGUGGAAAGGUCAAUCCAAUCAAAUGAGGGCAUUGACAUGGUGGAAGUGUCACCAAGAGGAGGAGACAAGGACUGCAAACUCUGCCAGAAAGAACUCUUCUGGAUUCAUACUUGAGGCACCCUAAAGCCGUUAGGAUAUAAUAAGAAUUUAAUAUGAGGGUCAUGUUGUAAUUCCCACUGUCAUUAUCUUAGCUUCAUGCACGCACACACACACGCGCGCGCGCACGCGCGCACGCACGCACGCACGCACGCACGCACGCACGCACACACACACACACACACACACACACACACACACACAC